UACGUAGGGCGCGAGCGUUGUCCGGAAUUAUUGGGCGUAAAGAGCUCGUAGGCGGCCAGUUGCGUCCGCUGUGAAAUCCCGGGGCUUAACCCCGGGCGUGCAGUGGAUACGGGCUGGCUGGAGGCAGGCAGGGGAGAACGGAAUUCCUGGUGUAGCGGUGAAAUGCGCAGAUAUCAGGAGGAACACCGGUGGCGAAGGCGGUUCUCUGGGCCUGUUCUGACGCUGAGGAGCGAAAGCGUGGGGAGCAAACAGG
This 253-nucleotide ribosomal RNA is filed under the name uncultured bacterium. RNAcentral's name for it is "partial 16S ribosomal RNA". It matches the Rfam family "Bacterial small subunit ribosomal RNA", at positions 524 to 776 of the family's 1533-position model. The record is from RNAcentral.